GACAAGGGUAGAGCGGACAGAGUACUUGGAAAAACAUUCCACUUUGGAGGCACUUGAAGAGUAUCCUGCACUCCGACUUCCAGUAAUAAAUCACAAGAUCAGCUUGAUGUUGACAUUGAUCGCAGCAUCAUGACGGGAAUGGAUCAGUUGCAGACCCGGGCUUAGAAAGAUACAUUUAAAGGAUCCAGAGAUCCCAACACCUGUCCUUGCAAUUAUGGGAAACCCCUUCUUGUGGAGGCUAGUUUUGGCGUGUGUCUGGACAGAUUACCCAGCCAGUUGACGACAUCACCUUGGCGAUGGCUACUUUGAUGUCGAUUUAUUUAGUUUUUAACAUCCAGUCCAUAAGAAGGUCAAAAACACUCUUACUUUCAUUGAAAAGUACCUCAUGUCAAAUGCACCUAAAGGAAAGCUCUCCCCACUGUCAUCAAAGUGGUUAUUGCUUGUUUUCUCAAGCAGUCUAAACCACU
Esox lucius (northern pike) is the source of this 467-nucleotide long non-coding RNA. RefSeq lists it as uncharacterized. Lineage: Eukaryota; Metazoa; Chordata; Actinopteri; Esociformes; Esocidae. The record is from RefSeq and is a predicted model, not a curated record. The transcript has 3 exons.